Molecule: transfer RNA, 78 nt
Filed under: Nanobdellota archaeon
Lineage: Archaea; Nanobdellati; Nanobdellota
Description: tRNA-Tyr
Rfam family: tRNA
About the family: Transfer RNA (tRNA) molecules are approximately 80 nucleotides in length.
Source: RNAcentral
CCCCGAAUAGCUCAGCCUGGCUAGAGCGCGCGACUGUAGAUCGCGAGGUCCCGUGUUCAAAUCACGGUUCGGGGACCA